Non-coding RNA from Pelobates cultripes (western spadefoot toad), 889 nucleotides. The record is from the annotation of a GenBank genome assembly. NCBI's taxonomy places the organism in Eukaryota, Metazoa, Chordata, Amphibia, Anura, Pelobatidae.
CUACAAGAUGACUGGACCACAUGGUUACCUAUGGCCGAAUUUUCUUACAAUAAUACCAUUCAUUCCAGUACGAAAAUGACUCCUUUCUUCUCCAACUAUGGUUUUCAUCCGUCUUCAUUCCCCAUCCAAACCAUUACUUCAUCCAAUCCUACUGUUACAUCAAAAAACGAAUUUAUGUCUUCUCUAUUUCUCAAAUUACGGGAGAAUCUUCAACUCGCCCAAAAUAACCAGAAAAAGUUUUUUGACAAUAAUAGAAGAAUUCCCCCUCCUUACAAGGUAGGGGAUCUUGUCUGGCUCUCUUCAAGGAAUAUUACCACAAGCCGUCCUUCAAAGAAAUUGAGCUCUCUUUUUCUUGGUCCCUUUCAAGUAAUUACUAUCAUUAAUGAUAACGUUGUUAAACUGAAACUUCCUCCAAGUUUUAAACUUCAUCCGGUAUUCCAUGUCUCCUUACUUAAACCACACAUCCCUGAUCCUUUUUAUAGAGAAAUAGUAACAACUCCUGAACCUAUCAUUGUCCAAGGUGAAGAAGAAUAUGAAAUUCACAAAAUUUUGGAUUCUCGUGUCCACCGUGGCUCUUUACAAUACCUUAUCAGAUGGAAAGGUUAUGGAGUUGAUGAAGACACUUGGGAAGAUUCAUCUAAUGUACAUGCUAGGAGGUUAGUUACUGCCUUUCACAAACGCUACCCCUCCAAACCGAAAUAGUGCACCCUGAGGAUGCCCCAUGAGAAGGGGGUACUGUCAGGUAUAGCAUGGCAUGUAAUUCAUCGCCGGAACCCACUUCCGGGUUCACGGCGCUCAGCCCCGCCCCUUUUUCUGACGCGGUCCCUCCACGAUACUUAGGAGGACCGCGCCAGAUUCAAAGGGCUGGAUUAUUCGCACAGGUGCUGCA